GCGCCGUUGCCGGGGAGAAAGAUGGUUUGCUGAGAUAACUUUAAGUCUUGCUAUUAUCUUGUAUUAUACUUUUAUACUUUUAUUCUUUUAUCUUUUUAUUUUUUCCAUCUUUAUGGAUAACUCAAAUUCCACACCUAUUAUUGAAUUUUUUGCACCUUCGGAGACCAGCCAUAGACCAUGGGAGUCAACAAGUCCUUUCUUUGCCCCUAAUUAUGAUAUGUGUCUGGAGUUAGUUGCAAUUGGUCAAAAGCAACACUUUUCUAUAGCCGAGGUCCUAUCUUUUAAUCAAGAAGAUAAUGAACUUUUAGCUACACCUAGGGAAUCUUUUAAUCUUUCUAUAAAUUCUGGUUUAGAUCUAGCCCUACAAGACCAUGUUUUUCCUCGAUAUUUCACAUUGGUCUUAAUCAUAUAACCUUUGGUAGAGUUUUUCUUUCUUUAUCUCUUAGUAAAGCAAGGUAUGUCCUCAUUCAUGGACAUCCUUGUUGCACUAGUCUUCAUAAAACAAUCCUAG
This 511-nucleotide long non-coding RNA is filed under the name Sorghum bicolor (sorghum). Its description in RNAcentral is "long non-coding RNA (SBIC_LNC017707)". Lineage: Eukaryota; Viridiplantae; Streptophyta; Magnoliopsida; Poales; Poaceae. The record is from RNAcentral.